UCUCUUAUCUUCAAUCUGUCUCAUAAAACUGAUUUUCUUUUUGCGAUUCUUCUCCUCUCCAAAUUCAUUCACCAGACGAAGAAACACAAUCAUAUGUAUUCUGAAGAAAAUAAUUGAAAAUUUGUUUGUUACAAUAAGAAUUUCAACCCUAGAUUUGGUUUGUUUAUUAGCUAUCUCUAACUUAUUAUGGAGUUUUUCAAUUAGACGGUUAGGAAAUUUCGGGUUUUGUCUCUCCAAUUUUUCCAUCUCCGUAAGCCAAAUAGUGAAGCUGCAGACAGAGGUUUUCAGUUCCACAUAUUCAACUCUUCUUUGGUUCUUCACAUAUUCUCAAUUUCUCAUAGUCCACCACCAGAGUCUACAACUACUUGUCCUUCUCCAGCAGCAAUAGUGAUUCAACGAACGACAACAUCACCUUCAGAUACUUGAGCAAGUUCUUGCAACAUCUUCAUCUUCUUUUUUAUUGAUUUCAGUUGAACAUGACGGGAUUUGCUAGAUAAUAAGAGAUUUUGGUAACAUUAAUUGAUUUUUUUUAUAAUUUUAGAAAUUGAAACCUAGGAUUUCAUAUAUUUGUGGGUAAAUUUGUAUUUGAGGGAUUGUUGUGUUAUCUUGCUAAGAAAUUCUAAUUAACCGAGUUCUUAUUGAUUUACUCUUUUAUAUGGGUUAAAUUUUGUUGUUUCUGCAAUUUUCUUAAUGAGUUUUUGCAAAUUUUGUUUUUAUAGAUUGAUUAAUAACCUGGGGACGAUUGCAUUCAAUAUGUAGAACUGAUAAUGUUCUCUUUCUCAUGAUAUAUACGUUGACAGGUCUGCUAACGUUACCUCUGAACUUGCGAAGUAUUUCCGAAGCUUGCGAAAUAUAGUGCAUGCUACUAGGGACGUCGCAAAUACACUUUGGGUGUGAUGAGAGAUGUUAGUGGUAAUUCAGAUUUACAAUUUGAAUGAAACUUCAUUGUCACUUUAUACGUUAACCCCCAAUCACUGCCAGAGAAGAAACCCAACUUAGUACAAUAAUAAACAUCAGUUGAUGCACCACCUAAUCAUUCAGGUGAACAUUUAGAGCUGUGUAAUGUUUGACAAAAUUCCUUAAAUAAUUUGUUCUUCAGUUACUUUCUGCUUAACAGGUUAUAGCUACUUUCCCACAAAGUAAUUGUUUUAUUAUGAAGGUACUCAUUCAAUUUUGAAGACUAAGAAGAAGAGAUAUAAAUACAACUUUGAAGUGAUUAUAAUUACAUUAUACUAUGAACAAUGAUGGUUCCUUUGGGCAUGGUUUAGUUGCUUGGCUUCAAACUGCGUCGACUCCUGAUAUGACUUAGCACUACUCUAAGCGUAGGUGUUGGUCUAAAUCACGGCCAAGGUUGUGUUCUUUGGAAGCGGUUUAAUUGAAUUUUGGGAAUUGUAACUUGCUGUAUGAAGCGGUUCUAUAAGUUACUAGCCAGUAGCAUUAGUUGAGACUCACAGAAAAAGAAAAUCUUGAAGAGAUUGAAAAGAUAUAUAGAAGCGCAGGAGUAACUCCUUUGUCAUUCAUUCUAUAGAGUGGGAUAAUGGUAGUACCAGUUUGUGCAUUCAGUUAGUAGUGUAUUAGUUGACUGGAUGUAAUAGGAUAUGUUGAUUAACUUUUAUACAUUACAUGUGGGCGAUUUUCAUUCCCCGCUCCAAUUCGAGAUAAUUUUUUGCGCAUCUGGCGGCAUGUCGUAGAGUCCUCGAAUUGACUCACACUCUGGCGUUGGAUUUCACCCUGAUCAUUGACAGGUCUUACCAAUUGCAUAUUUUCACACAAGAAGAAUCAGAUUAAAGUCUAUUAUACUAAAAACCCCUCCUCUUCUAUGGAAAUCUUUCCAAGGUAUACCCUGAUCCAUGCAUGAUUAACAAUAUGCAAUGGGUAAAUUCUAU
This is a long non-coding RNA of Papaver somniferum (opium poppy), 1886 nucleotides long. RefSeq lists it as uncharacterized. Lineage: Eukaryota; Viridiplantae; Streptophyta; Magnoliopsida; Ranunculales; Papaveraceae. The transcript is spliced from 3 exons. The record is from RefSeq and is a predicted model, not a curated record.